AUGAACGCUGGCGGCGUGCCUAAUACAUGCAAGUCGAGCGAACGGACGAGAAGCUUGCUUUUCUGAUGUUAGCGGCGGACGGGUGAGUAACACGUGGAUAACCUACCUAUAAGACUGGGAUAACUUCGGGAAACCGGAGCUAAUACCGGAUAAUAUUUUGAACCGCAUGGUUCAAAAGUGAAAGACGGUCUUGCUGUCACUUAUAGAUGGAUCCGCGCUGCAUUAGCUAGUUGGUAAGGUAACGGCUUACCAAGGCAACGAUGCAUAGCCGACCUGAGAGGGUGAUCGGCCACACUGGAACUGAGACACGGUCCAGACUCCUACGGGAGGCAGCAGUAGGGAAUCUUCCGCAAUGGCCGAAAGCCUGACGGAGCAACGCCGCGUGAGUGAUGAAGGUCUUCGGAUCGUAAAACUCUGUUAUUAGGGAAGAACAUAUGUGUAAGUAACUGUGCACAUCUUGACGGUACCUAAUCAGAAAGCCACGGCUAACUACGUG
This 496-nucleotide ribosomal RNA is filed under the name uncultured bacterium. RNAcentral's name for it is "partial 16S ribosomal RNA". It matches the Rfam family "Bacterial small subunit ribosomal RNA", at positions 29 to 507 of the family's 1533-position model. The record is from RNAcentral.